GGUGCUGUGGCUCAGUGGUAGAGUGCUAGCCUUGAGCUAAAGAGCUGAAGGACAGCACCC
This 60-nucleotide transfer RNA is filed under the name Dipodomys ordii (Ord's kangaroo rat). The record is from Rfam by way of RNAcentral. Lineage: Eukaryota; Metazoa; Chordata; Mammalia; Rodentia; Heteromyidae.